Molecule: long non-coding RNA, 219 nt
Organism: Ornithodoros turicata
Lineage: Eukaryota; Metazoa; Arthropoda; Arachnida; Ixodida; Argasidae
Exons: 3
Source: RefSeq, a predicted model, not a curated record
CUGUGGUCAUGAAGAACAAAUAAAGCAACUGCAGCAGGCGAAUGAUGAUCUGAAACGUAAAAUAGAGGAUCUGGAAAACAUGACGGACAUUCAGAAGACCGUGCAAACACUCAAGCGAAUUGUCAGAAACAUGAAGGUUUCUCAGGAGGAACGUCCUGUGCUCGCGCCGAACCAGGUGGACCUGGGAAGCGGCGUGUCCGUAUCCAGCGCGACGCUUAC